This 425-nucleotide ribosomal RNA is filed under the name uncultured bacterium. RNAcentral describes it as "partial 16S ribosomal RNA". It matches the Rfam family "Bacterial small subunit ribosomal RNA", at positions 354 to 796 of the family's 1533-position model. The record is from RNAcentral.
GUGGGGAAUCUUGCGCAAUGGGCGAAAGCCUGACGCAGCCAUACCGCGUGAAUGAUGAAGGUCUUAGGAUUGUAAAAUUCUUUCACCGGGGACGAUAAUGACGGUACCCGGAGAAGAAGCCCCGGCUAACUUCGUGCCAGCAGCCGCGGUAAUACGAAGGGGGCUAGCGUUGCUCGGAAUUACUGGGCGUAAAGGGCGCGUAGGCGGACAGUUUAGUCAGAGGUGAAAGCCCAGGGCUCAACCUUGGAAUUGCCUUUGAUACUGGCUGUCUUGAGUACGGGAGAGGUGAGUGGAACUCCGAGUGUAGAGGUGAAAUUCGUAGAUAUUCGGAAGAACACCAGUGGCGAAGGCGACUCACUGGCCCGUUACUGACGCUGAGGCGCGAAAGCGUGGGGAUCGAACAGGAUUAGAAACCCUGGUAGUCC